Molecule: long non-coding RNA, 381 nt
Filed under: Nicotiana benthamiana
Lineage: Eukaryota; Viridiplantae; Streptophyta; Magnoliopsida; Solanales; Solanaceae
Description: long non-coding RNA (NBEN_LNC024980)
Source: RNAcentral
AAUCGUGGAUUUUUAUGAGUAUGAUUUUAAUCCAACAGAAGAAAACAACAACAACUACCCAGUGUAUUCCCACCAGGUGGGGUCUGGGGAGGUAAUAUGUAGACGAGCCUUACCCCUACCCGAAAGGGCAGAGAGGCUGUUUCCAAUCGACCCUCGGCGCAUUAUACUCCCACCAGGUGGGGUCUGGGGAGGGUAAUAUGUAGACGAGCCUUACCCCUACCCGAAAGGGCAGAGAGGCUGUUUCCAAUCGAUCCUCGGCGCAUAGGAUAAAAUGAAAAGCAGCAUUAGAACAAAAACAAAAACAAAAACAGAGACAAAAUUAGAAACAAAAACAAGACAUAACAAAACAAUAAAGCAUUAAUAAAUCCCGCAGAAAUAACG